Long non-coding RNA from Spinacia oleracea (spinach), 2460 nucleotides. RefSeq lists it as uncharacterized. The transcript is spliced from 4 exons. The record is from RefSeq and is a predicted model, not a curated record. Lineage: Eukaryota; Viridiplantae; Streptophyta; Magnoliopsida; Caryophyllales; Amaranthaceae.
AGGCCUCUCGUCAAGGCGCCUCAUCAAGACCUCUCAUCAAGGCGCCUCAUCAAGGCCUCUCACCAAGCGCCUCAUCAAGGCCUCUCACCAAGGCGCCUCAUCAAGACUUCUCGUCAAGGCGCCUCAUCAAGGCCUCUCAUCAAGGCGCCUCAUCAAGGCCUCUCAUCAAGGCGCCUCAUCAACACUCUUCGUCAAAUGCGCCUCAUCAAGGCGCCCCAUCAAGACUCCUCGACGGGACUCCUCGUCAGGACCCCUUAUCAGAACCUAUAAAACCGAACGGCUUACUAAACGCCUACAAAUAUAGGGGCAAACCCUCCAAAAAGAACCAUCAGGACUAGCUCCUCGACAAGGAGUCCUCAUCAAGACGCCUUGUCCAAACUCCUUGUCAGGACUUGCAAGCUCCCCUCAAAACUUGGAAGCUCCCCAUCAGGACUUACUCCCUCAUGGACUUGCUCCCCAUCGGGACUUGCUCCUCGUCAAGGCGCCUCAUCAAGACGCCUUGUCCAAACUCCUUGUCAGGACUUGCAAGCUCCCCUCAAGACUUGCAAGCUCCCCAUCGGGACUUACUCCCUCAUGAACUUGCUCCCCAUCGGGACUUGCUCCUCGUCAAGGCGCCUCAUCAAGACGCCUUGUCCAAACUCCUUGUCAGGACUUGCAAGCUCCCCUGAAGACUUGCAAGCUCCCCAUCGGGAAUUACUCCCUCAUGGACUUGCUCCCCAUCGGGACUUGCUCCCAUCAUGACUCAAUAAAGAUAGUCAAUCAAUAUCGACGCCUUCUCAUUUGAUGGUGUCAGAAAAGACUAAUCGGUUGACGGCCUGAGGAGUGGCCUAGAUUAGCGCCCCAAAUUAGAUUCAUCACCUAAAACACUGGGAUUACCGUCCACAUACGGCAACAAAAUUCAUUUCAAAAAAUCAGCGUAUGACUGAAAAGGGAUGAAUACAUAAAAAGUGCACAGAAGGCACAAAAAUUCCUACACGCGCACACAGCGCGGAAACUAAAAUAAAGAGUGCCAAAAAGUACCAAUAUUAAUACAAAACGCUGGCACCGCGAAAACCAACAGUCAAAGAAAAGGUUAAGGACCAGGAGCGGUCAAACUACCAUCCUGGACGUCCAGCCCGACGGAGGAAUUCACUUCUUCUUCCUCCACGUCUUCCUCCUCCCAAUCAGGACUUGCAAGCUCCUAUCAUGACUUGCAAACUCCCAUCAUGACUCAUGUCUAGCCACAUGUUAGAGCACAAGUUUCUCUCUAAAUGUGCCCCAAGUUGAGUCACAACUGACAAAAUGUUGCCUCCCGCCAUAAGGUACUAUUUGAGUCGCUCAUUAAUUUUCAAAGGCGAUUUACCUUGUAAAAAGAUAAGACCCCCUUUGAGGGGCAAAUGAUGUGGCAAAAAAUAAUUGGACAUCAUGUCCCAAUGAUAGCUUGACACAUGUCCUCUAUAAAUGCUACGAAGGCCCGACUUGUUUGACAAGCCCAAUCCUAAAAAGGCACCUUAAAGCCCUUUAUUUCAAAACGCACCAGAUAAGGACACAUGUCCUCAUCUCUAAAGAUCAGCCAGUCAUAUAGCUAGGGUUUUCGGACACUUCCCAAAAACCCUAGCCCUAUAUAUAUAGUCCAAUUCCCAAGGUAAAAGGGGCAAUCAAUUCAUUCCCACCAACCUAAAACUAUCUUUGCUCUGCCUUCUCUCAAAAAAUUACUUCCCUCUCUAGCUUAUACUUACUUAAGCAUCGGAGGGAAUAUUCCUACAGGAAUAUUCUUGUUUUGCAGGUUGCCAGAGGUUCGUGCCAACUCAUACUUGAUACCUCCGAGGAACGCGUGACACGUCAUCACCGUAAAAGAUCCCACAACAGUGUACAUGGUGCAGGUAUAACAGAUAAAGCAACUCAUGUUUACUGCAGCAAGCUGAGUAGUUAGAAAUUGUUAGGGCAUCAAGCUAGCCAAUGAGUAAGUGGCUAUGCAUUUGCCAGUCUUGUGUUUUUAAAAGAGGGUGUGGCAUAACUUUACUCUUUGUAGACAGCCUUAAGGAUUUGGAGAAUUUGCGAAUUCAGCUACGAGGUUUAACGUGCAAUGGUUGGAGUUUGAUAAUUCCUAUUUCAAGGUACGUAUAUGUUGAGAGAUAUGAAGCUGGCCAGGAAGCAUGCAUUUAUCAAGGAUUACACUGAAGCCCAUACCAAACUCGACAACCUUGAAGCCACAUUUAUCCCCCCGAGUUCUGUCUUAUUCCCAAAUCUCAUGUAUUGGUUCUCUUUAACAUUUGUAUCUGGUUCUCCUCCUAUAAAAACUUUCCUUUCUUUUGGGGUGGGUGAGGUGUGAGCCUCAUACUAUUUGUAUCUAAAACUUUGUGCCCUCAAACCAUCAAGCCAUAAAUUAUCUUGAAGGCUAAUGUAUUAUAUAUGAAGUACUCCAAAAUACUGCUUAUGUUUUAUUGAUGUAUAUGAAAUACUUUGUAUUUCAUCCAUUCA